UACGGAGGGUGCAAGCGUUAAUCGGAAUCACUGGGCGUAAAGCGCACGUAGGUGGUUUGCUAAGCCAGCUGUGAAAUCCCCGGGCUCAACCUGGGCACUGCAGUUGGAACUGGCAAGCUAGAGUAGGGUAGAGGGGUGUGGAAUUCCAGGUGUAGCGGUGAAAUGCGUAGAUAUCUGGAGGAACAUCAGUGGCGAAGGCGACACCCUGGACUCAUACUGACACUGAGGUGCGAAAGCGUGGGGAGCAAACAGG
This 253-nucleotide ribosomal RNA is filed under the name uncultured bacterium. RNAcentral describes it as "partial 16S ribosomal RNA". It matches the Rfam family "Bacterial small subunit ribosomal RNA", at positions 524 to 776 of the family's 1533-position model. The record is from RNAcentral.